RNAcentral lists this ribosomal RNA (601 nucleotides) under uncultured bacterium. Its description in RNAcentral is "bacterial SSU rRNA". It matches the Rfam family "Bacterial small subunit ribosomal RNA", at positions 747 to 1337 of the family's 1533-position model. The record is from RNAcentral.
UGAGGAACGAAAGCCAGGGUAGCAAAUGGGAUUAGAUACCCCAGUAGUCCUGGCCGUAAACGAUGGAUACUAGGUGUUGCGGGUAUCGACCCCUGCAGUGCCGAAGCCAACGCGUUAAGUAUCCCGCCUGGGGAGUACGCACGCAAGUGUGAAACUCAAAGGAAUUGACGGGGACCCGCACAAGCGGUGGAACAUGUGGUUUAAUUCGAAGCAACGCGAAGAACCUUACCAGGGCUUGACAUCUGACGAAUACUUAUGAAAGUAGGUAGUGCUCUUCGGAGAGCGUCAAGACAGGUGGUGCACGGUUGUCGUCAGCUCGUGUCGUGAGAUGUUGGGUUAAGUCCCGCAACGAGCGCAACCCUCGUCGUUAGUUGGUACAUUUGGUAUACUGGAUGUAACCUCUCUAGCGAGACUGCCGGUGAUAAACCGGAGGAAGGUGAGGACGACGUCAAAUCAUCAUGCCCCUUAUGCUCUGGGCUACACACGUGUUACAAUGGCCGGUACAACGAGCCGCCAACUCGCGAGAGUGAGCAAAUCUCUAAAAGCCGGUCUCAGUUCGGAUUGCAGUCUGCAACUCGACUGCAUGAAGUCGGAAUCGCUA